AGUGAACGCUGGCGGUAGACCUAACACAUGCAAGUCGAACGGCAGCACAGUAAGAGCUUGCUCUUACGGGUGGCGAGUGGCGGACGGGUGAGGAAUACAUCGGAAUCUACUUUUUCGUGGGGGAUAACGUAGGGAAACUUACGCUAAUACCGCAUACGACCUACGGGUGAAAGCAGGGGAUCUUCGGACCUUGCGCGAUUGAAUGAGCCGAUGUCGGAUUAGCUAGUUGGCGGGGUAAAGGCCCACCAAGGCGACGAUCCGUAGCUGGUCUGAGAGGAUGAUCGGCCACACUGGAACUGAGACACGGUCCAGACUCCUACGGGAGGCAGCAGUGGGGAAUAUUGGACAAUGGGCGCAAGCCUGAUCCAGCCAUACCGCGUGGGUGAAGAAGGCCUUCGGGUUGUAAAGCCCCUUUGUUGGGAAAGAAAAGCAGCAGGUUAAUACCCCGCUGUUCUGACGGUACCCAAAGAAUAAGCACCGGCUAACUUCGUG
RNAcentral lists this ribosomal RNA (492 nucleotides) under uncultured bacterium. RNAcentral's name for it is "partial 16S ribosomal RNA". It matches the Rfam family "Bacterial small subunit ribosomal RNA", at positions 29 to 507 of the family's 1533-position model. The record is from RNAcentral.